Equus caballus (horse) is the source of this 1360-nucleotide non-coding RNA. Lineage: Eukaryota; Metazoa; Chordata; Mammalia; Perissodactyla; Equidae. The record is from RefSeq and is a predicted model, not a curated record.
UCUAUUUUGUAUGUGGGAUGCUGCCACAGCAUGGCCUGAUGAGCAAGCAGCGUGUGGAUCCGUGCCUGGGAACUAAACCCAUGAACCUCAGGCCACCGAAGCAGAGCAUGCAAACUUAAUCACUAUGCCUCAAGGCUGGCCCUGGCCAACCUUUUCUAUAAAGAGCCAGACAGUAAAUAUUUUAGGCUUUGCAGACCACACGGUCUCUGUUGCAACUACUUGACUGCAAAGCAGCCAUAGACGGUAUGUAAACAAGCAGACACGGCUGUGUUCCAGCAACACUUUCUUUACAAAGACAGGUGGCCGACUGGAUUUGGCAUGAGACCAUAGUUUACAAUCCUUGCAAUAGAGUAUGGAAGAAAUGACACAAUAUGACUUCUGAGGCUAGGUCAUAAAAGGCCCUGAAGCUUCUGUGUGUGUCUGCUGGAACACUCACUCUUAGGAAGCUCCCUCUCGGAACCUAGGGACCAUCCUGGGAGAAGCCCAAGCCAGUGAGAGAGACCCCAUGUAGGUGGUCUGGUCAACAGCCUUGGCUGAGCCCAGCCUUCAUGUCAUCCCAGCCCAGGUCCUGGCAUGUGAGUGAAGAGGCCUCCAGAUGAUUCCAGUUUCCAGUCUUUCAAGUCACCCCUCAGCAUUGAGUCUUCCUGGCAGAGGCCCUGAACACAGCAGAGCAGAGACAACACAUCCCUACCACACCCUAUCUGAAUUCUGUGAGGAUAUAAAACUGCUGUUGUUUUCGUGCUGCUAGGUUUAGAGGUGGUUUGCUAUGUAGCAAGAGAUGGCUGGAGCAGAGGCUAACUAAGAAAACUCUAAGAGCACAUGUGGAAGGCUAAAAAUUUUAGAAAAGAAAACAGGAGUUGGAGAAUUCAAUGGAAAAUAUGCUCUUUUUUUCGAAAAACAAUUUAUGCUUUUUGUUACAGAAUUCUAGGUUGACGGUGCUGGCCUGGCUCUCCUCCCCAACCCUACCUGAGGGUGGGCUACCCUGAGAAGACAGGAAAGGGAGACCUGGACCUGCGGGGUGAGGACACCUAACACCUUCACAGCCCCCAACGGCUUGAGGAAGAGCCAUGCCUGGUCUUUAGGUUCCCCAGGCCCACUGACCAGAUGCAGAAGAACAUGACAACCUCCAGAAAGAAAAAUUCUGCGUGGGUACCCAUCACGAAUGACAGAAGAAAGAGAUUAUGUGGUACCUUGAAGUUCAUCACACUGGAUGGUCGACAUCCCUAACCCCCUCCUUCCCUGCCCAUUUCCCCUAUAUAACUGCCUCAAGAUUCCGUAUGAUUUGAAGAUGGUUCUUUAGGAAACUAGUCGACCAUCUUCCGAUUAUGCUAACUAAUCGUAUAAAUUUUCCUUUCUCAAC